Molecule: transfer RNA, 77 nt
Filed under: Insolitispirillum peregrinum
Lineage: Bacteria; Pseudomonadati; Pseudomonadota; Alphaproteobacteria; Rhodospirillales; Novispirillaceae
Also listed under: 5 other names
Description: tRNA-Pro
Rfam family: tRNA
About the family: Transfer RNA (tRNA) molecules are approximately 80 nucleotides in length. Their secondary structure includes four short double-helical elements and three loops (D, anti-codon, and T loops).
Source: RNAcentral
CGGGGCGUAGCUCAGUCUGGUAGAGUGCUUGCUUUGGGAGCAAGAUGCCGGGGGUUCGAAUCCUCUCGCCCCGACCA